CGGGUGAGUAAUACAUCGGAACGUGUCUUCUAGUGGGGGAUAACUGCCCGAAAGGGCAGCUAAUACCGCAUGAGACCUGAGGGUGAAAGCGGGGGAUCGCAAGACCUCGCGCUGGAAGAGCGGCCGAUGUCCGAUUAGCUAGUUGGUGAAGUAAAGGCUCACCAAGGCGACGAUCGGUAGCUGGUCUGAGAGGACGACCAGCCACACUGGGACUGAGACACGGCCCAG
RNAcentral lists this ribosomal RNA (228 nucleotides) under uncultured bacterium. Its description in RNAcentral is "partial 16S ribosomal RNA". It matches the Rfam family "Bacterial small subunit ribosomal RNA", at positions 103 to 334 of the family's 1533-position model. The record is from RNAcentral.